RNAcentral lists this ribosomal RNA (302 nucleotides) under uncultured bacterium. RNAcentral describes it as "partial 16S ribosomal RNA". It matches the Rfam family "Bacterial small subunit ribosomal RNA", at positions 508 to 807 of the family's 1533-position model. The record is from RNAcentral.
GCAGUCGCCGCGGUAAUCCGUAGGUGGCAAGCGUUGUCCGGAAUUAUUGGGCGUAAAGGGCUCGCAGGCGGUUUCUUAAGUCUGAUGUGAAAGCCCCCGGCUCAACCGGGGAGGGUCAUUGGAAACUGGGAAACUUGAGUGCAGAAGAGGAGAGUGGAAUUCCACGUGUAGCGGUGAAAUGCGUAGAGAUGUGGAGGAACACCAGUGGCGAAGGCGACUCUCUGGUCUGUAACUGACGCUGAGGAGCGAAAGCGUGGGGAGCGAACAGGAUUAGAGACCCCCGUAGUCCCUGUCUCUUAUAC